CAGUAGCCGCGGGAAUACGUAGGUGGCAAGCGUUGUCCGGAAUUAUUGGGCGUAAAGCGCGCGCAGGCGGAUAGGUCAGUCUGUCUUAAAAGUUCGGGGCUUAACCCCGUGAUGAGAUGGAAACUGCCAAUCUAGAGUAUCGGAGAGGAAAGUGGAAUUCCUAGUGUAGCGGUGAAAUGCGUAGAUAUUAGGAAGAACACCAGUGGCGAAGGCGACUUUCUGGACGAAAACUGACGCUGAGGCGCGAAAGCCAGGGGAGCGGACGGGAUUAGAUACCCCUGUAGUCCCUGUCUCUUAUAAC
Molecule: ribosomal RNA, 301 nt
Filed under: uncultured bacterium
Lineage: Bacteria
Description: partial 16S ribosomal RNA
Rfam family: Bacterial small subunit ribosomal RNA
Source: RNAcentral